UACGAAGGGAGCUAGCGUUGCUCGGAAUCACUGGGCGUAAAGCGCACGUAGGCGGAUUGUUAAGUCAGGGGUGAAAUCCUGGAGCUCAACUCCAGAACUGCCUUUGAUACUGGCGAUCUCGAGUCCGGGAGAGGUGAGUGGAACUGCGAGUGUAGAGGUGAAAUUCGUAGAUAUUCGCAAGAACACCAGUGGCGAAGGCGGCUCACUGGCCCGGUACUGACGCUGAGGUGCGAAAGCGUGGGGAGCAAACAGG
RNAcentral lists this ribosomal RNA (253 nucleotides) under uncultured bacterium. RNAcentral describes it as "partial 16S ribosomal RNA". It matches the Rfam family "Bacterial small subunit ribosomal RNA", at positions 524 to 776 of the family's 1533-position model. The record is from RNAcentral.